UCGGGAAUUUUGCGCAAUGGACGAAAGUCUGACGCAGCAACGCCGCGUGAGGGAUGAAGGCCUUCGGGUUGUAAACCUCUUUUGUCAGGGAAGAUGAUGACGGUACCUGACGAAUAAGCCACGGCUAACUACGUGCCAGCAGCCGCGGUAAUACGUAGGUGGCAAGCGUUGUCCGGAUUUACUGGGCGUAAAGAGCGCGCAGGCGGUCGUCCAAGUCGCGUGUGAAAGCCCCCGGCUCAACUGGGGAGGGUCACGCGAUACUGGUCGACUCGAAGGCAGGAGAGGGUAGUGGAAUUCCCGGUGUAGUGGUGAAAUGCGUAGAUAUCGGGAGGAACACCAGUGGCGAAGGCGACUACCUGGCCUGUUCUUGACGCUGAGGCGCGAAAGCUAGGGGAGCAAACGGG
Molecule: ribosomal RNA, 404 nt
Filed under: Bacillota bacterium
Lineage: Bacteria; Bacillati; Bacillota
Also listed under: 1 other name
Description: Firmicutes bacterium partial 16S ribosomal RNA
Rfam family: Bacterial small subunit ribosomal RNA
Source: RNAcentral